Molecule: ribosomal RNA, 1272 nt
Filed under: Salmonella enterica subsp. enterica serovar Typhimurium
Lineage: Bacteria; Pseudomonadati; Pseudomonadota; Gammaproteobacteria; Enterobacterales; Enterobacteriaceae
Description: bacterial LSU rRNA
Rfam family: Bacterial large subunit ribosomal RNA
Source: RNAcentral
GUUAUCACGGGAGACACACGGCGGGUGCUAACGUCCGUCGUGAAGAGGGAAACAACCCAGACCGCCAGCUAAGGUCCCAAAGUCAUGGUUAAGUGGGAAACGAUGUGGGAAGGCCCAGACAGCCAGGAUGUUGGCUUAGAAGCAGCCAUCAUUUAAAGAAAGCGUAAUAGCUCACUGGUCGAGUCGGCCUGCGCGGAAGAUGUAACGGGGCUAAACCAUGCACCGAAGCUGCGGCAGCGAACGUAUCACUUAAAGCGAUUCAGCGGGUUACGAUUGACGGAGCGAAGCGACGUCAAAGCGUAUACAAAGUCGAGUCGGUUUAAGGAUACGUUCGUUGGGUAGGGGAGCGUUCUGUAAGCCCGUGAAGGUGGCCUGUGAGGGUUGCUGGAGGUAUCAGAAGUGCGAAUGCUGACAUAAGUAACGAUAAAGCGGGUGAAAAGCCCGCUCGCCGGAAGACCAAGGGUUCCUGUCCAACGUUAAUCGGGGCAGGGUGAGUCGACCCCUAAGGCGAGGCCGAAAGGCGUAGUCGAUGGGAAACGGGUUAAUAUUCCCGUACUUGGUGUUACUGCGAAGGGGGGACGGAGAAGGCUAUGUUGGCCGGGCGACGGUUGUCCCGGUUUAAGCGUGUAGGUGUGUGUUCCAGGUAAAUCCGGUUCACUUUAACACUGAGGCGUGACGACGAGGCACUACGGUGCUGAAGCAACAAAUGCCCUGCUUCCAGGAAAAGCCUCUAAGCAUCAGGUAACAUCAAAUCGUACCCCAAACCGACACAGGUGGUCAGGUAGAGAAUACCAAGGCGCUUGAGAGAACUCGGGUGAAGGAACUAGGCAAAAUGGUGCCGUAACUUCGGGAGAAGGCACGCUGACACGUAGGUGAAGUGAUUUACUCAUGGAGCUGAAGUCAGUCGAAGAUACCAGCUGGCUGCAACUGUUUAUUAAAAACACAGCACUGUGCAAACACGAAAGUGGACGUAUACGGUGUGACGCCUGCCCGGUGCCGGAAGGUUAAUUGAUGGGGUCAGCGUAAGCGAAGCUCCUGAUCGAAGCCCCGGUAAACGGCGGCCGUAACUAUAACGGUCCUAAGGUAGCGAAAUUCCUUGUCGGGUAAGUUCCGACCUGCACGAAUGGCGUAAUGAUGGCCAGGCUGUCUCCACCCGAGACUCAGUGAAAUUGAACUCGCUGUGAAGAUGCAGUGUACCCGCGGCAAGACGGAAAGACCCCGUGAACCUUUACUAUAGCUUGACACUGAACAUUGAGCCUUGAUGUGUAGGAU